This 402-nucleotide ribosomal RNA is filed under the name uncultured bacterium. RNAcentral's name for it is "bacterial SSU rRNA". It matches the Rfam family "Bacterial small subunit ribosomal RNA", at positions 355 to 774 of the family's 1533-position model. The record is from RNAcentral.
UGGGGAAUAUUGCACAAUGGGCGAAAGCCUGAUGCAGCAACGCCGCGUGAGUGAUGAAGGCCUUCGGGUUGUAAAGCUCUGUCUUCUGGGACGAUAAUGACGGUACCAGAGGAGGAAGCUGCGGCUAACUACGUGCCAGCAGCCGCGGUAAUACGUAGGCAGCAAGCGUUGUUCGGAGUUACUGGGCGUAAAGAGUGCGUAGGCGGUUUUCUAAGUUCGGUGUGAAAUCUCCCGGCUUAACUGGGAGGGUGCGCCGAAGACUGGGAAGCUGGAGUGUGGGAAAGGCAGGCGGAAUUCCUGGUGUAGCGGUGAAAUGCGUAGAGAUCGGGAGGAACAUCUGUGGCGAAGGCGACUGCCUGGACCAGCACUGACACUGAGGCACGAAAGCGUGGGGAGCAAACA